UAAUGUGAAACGAUGUAUUGUAAUCAGUUUCGACCUGGUUUAAGGGGCUUGCCUCCUCAUUUU
Molecule: transfer RNA, 63 nt
Filed under: Orchesella cincta
Lineage: Eukaryota; Metazoa; Arthropoda; Collembola; Entomobryomorpha; Orchesellidae
Description: tRNA-Arg
Source: RNAcentral